Molecule: ribosomal RNA, 333 nt
Filed under: uncultured Glomeromycotina
Lineage: Eukaryota; Fungi; Glomeromycota
Description: eukaryotic LSU rRNA
Source: RNAcentral
UAUCAGCCUUUUGGGCAUGAUUCUGUGGAGCGUGCGGGGUUAAACGCCUUCAUGCCUGCAUAUUCGUGUACUUUGGGUGUACUUGCCUGUGUGGUUAGUUAACAUCAAUUUUGGUUAUCAUAAAAUGGUUGGAGGAAUGUAGCUUCGAUUUCGAUUGAAGUGUUAUAGCCUUCGGCAGAUGUGAUGAUCGGGAUUGAGGAUUGCAACGGAUACCCUUCGGGGCUACCUGUCUGGUCUCUGAUCGUUGCUCUGGUGCCGAAAGCGUGCUUACGGUUAUCAAAGUCGAUGGUCAAUAGGUUAGAACGGGUUAAAUUCGUUAAGGAUGUUGACGUA